UGGCGGCGUGGUUAAGACAUGCAAGUCGAACGAGAGAAUUGCUAGCUUGCUAAUAAUUCUCUAGUGGCGCACGGGUGAGUAACACGUGAGUAACCUGCCCCCGAGAGCGGGAUAGCCCUGGGAAACUGGGAUUAAUACCGCAUAGUAUCGAAAGAUUAAAGCAGCAAUGCGCUUGGGGAUGGGCUCGCGGCCUAUUAGUUAGUUGGUGAGGUAACGGCUCACCAAGGCGAUGACGGGUAGCCGGUCUGAGAGGAUGUCCGGCCACACUGGAACUGAGACACGGUCCAGACACCUACGGGUGGCAGCAGUCGAGAGUCAUUCACAAUGGGGGAAACCCUGAUGGUGCGACGCCGCGUGGGGGAAUGAAGGUCUUCGGAUUGUAAACCCCUGUCAUGUGGGAGCAAAUUAAAAAGAUAGUACCACAAGAGGAAGAGACGGCUAACUCUGUGCCAGCAGCCGCGGUAAUACAGAGGUCUCAAGCGUUGUUCGGAAUCACUGGGCGUAAAGCGUGCGUAGGCUGUUUCGUAAGUCGUGUGUGAAAGGCGCGGGCUCAACCCGCGGACGGCACAUGAUACUGCGAGACUAGAGUAAUGGAGGGGGAACCGGAAUUCACGGUGUAGCA
RNAcentral lists this ribosomal RNA (622 nucleotides) under Akkermansia muciniphila. Its description in RNAcentral is "bacterial SSU rRNA". It matches the Rfam family "Bacterial small subunit ribosomal RNA", at positions 37 to 680 of the family's 1533-position model. Lineage: Bacteria; Pseudomonadati; Verrucomicrobiota; Verrucomicrobiia; Verrucomicrobiales; Akkermansiaceae. The record is from RNAcentral.